UACGUAGGGUCCGAGCGUUGCCCGGAAUUACUGGGCGUAAAGAGCUCGUAGGUGGUUUGUCGCGUUGUUCGUGAAAACUCACAGCUCAACUGUGGGCGUGCGGGCGAUACGGGCAGACUUGAGUACUGCAGGGGAGACUGGAAUUCCUGGUGUAGCGGUGGAAUGCGCAGAUAUCAGGAGGAACACCGGUGGCGAAGGCGGGUCUCUGGGCAGUAACUGACGCUGAGGAGCGAAAGCGUGGGGAGCGAACAGG
Molecule: ribosomal RNA, 253 nt
Filed under: uncultured bacterium
Lineage: Bacteria
Description: partial 16S ribosomal RNA
Rfam family: Bacterial small subunit ribosomal RNA
Source: RNAcentral